UCUAAAUUGUGGUUUCAGGUAGUGGGACUGUAGAGUCCCGCUAAGGGGCGCCAGAGGCGUCAGGAUCGCUGGUGAAUCACAGUACGCCGCUGCUCGACCAGCUUCUACUUCAGACACUUAAACUUCCAAGACAGCUUCCUUUUACGCUCCCUGUGACCUGGAUCUUUCGUAAGGAAAGGAAGGCCCAUGUCAUGUCACUGAUGCUCCUUCUACAGUGUUGAUCACCAGGCUCAAGACAUGCCUUCCCCAGGCUGAAACUCAUCUAUGAUGACUUUGCAAACUUGUGUUCUUUAAUUCCUGGAACCUACUCAUGCGGCAGAUGGACCUCCAGAACAAUGAGAUCCCUGCGGCCAGGGCUCUUACUUUAGGCAUGCAGGGUGCCUUGUAUGAAAUGCUGGUGACCUGUCUCAACAAAACCAGGCAGGAUGUUUCAAUCAACACCCUACUGCAGAGAAUCCAGGACUGCCUGGUAGGCCCCAGAAAGAAGGCGGGACAGGCUCUGCUGUGUCCUGAGUGGAAAGACUCUUUUUAAGAAUCUGAGCUUCCCUUUUUGGCUUUUCUACUUGAAGGGGAAGUGUAAGUGGACACCAGCCUGGAAGAAAGAGCAGAUACUUGAUGAAUACUUGAAGAAAUUCUAAUUCAAAAGCAUACAGCUCUUCACAAGAGACUCUUUUUAAAAUGUUUAUUUAUUUUUGAGACAGAGAGAGAGAAAGCAGGCUAGUGCAUGUGCACCAGCAGGAGAAGAGCAGAGAGA
Prionailurus viverrinus (fishing cat) is the source of this 754-nucleotide long non-coding RNA. RefSeq lists it as uncharacterized. The record is from RefSeq and is a predicted model, not a curated record. NCBI's taxonomy places the organism in Eukaryota, Metazoa, Chordata, Mammalia, Carnivora, Felidae. The transcript is spliced from 3 exons.